Molecule: microRNA precursor, 95 nt
Filed under: Marmota monax (woodchuck)
Lineage: Eukaryota; Metazoa; Chordata; Mammalia; Rodentia; Sciuridae
Source: RNAcentral
AGACCAAUUGUUGGAGCAUAUGGUAAGAGUAUGUUUAGUUUAUUUGCCAAACUGUCUUCUAAAACUGCUGUACCAUUUGCAUUCUUUCCAGCAAU